UACGGGGGGGGCAAGCGUUGUUCGGAAUUACUGGGCGUAAAGGGCUCGUAGGCGGCCGCACAAGUCCGACGUGAAAUCCCACGGCUCAACCGUGGAACUGCGUCGGAAACUAGGUGGCUUGAAUCCAAGAGAGGGAUGCGGAAUUCCAGGUGUAGCGGUGAAAUGCGUAGAUAUCUGGAGGAACACCGGUGGCGAAGGCGGCAUCCUGGAUUGGUAUUGACGCUGAGGAGCGAAAGCCAGGGGAGCAAAC
Molecule: ribosomal RNA, 250 nt
Filed under: uncultured bacterium
Lineage: Bacteria
Description: partial 16S ribosomal RNA
Rfam family: Bacterial small subunit ribosomal RNA
Source: RNAcentral